Numida meleagris (helmeted guineafowl) is the source of this 3258-nucleotide long non-coding RNA. RefSeq lists it as uncharacterized. The record is from RefSeq and is a predicted model, not a curated record. NCBI's taxonomy places the organism in Eukaryota, Metazoa, Chordata, Aves, Galliformes, Numididae. The transcript has 4 exons.
GGAGAACCUUCUGGCAGCUGAAGGAUGGUCAUAGGCUCUAGGCAAGGUGGAUUUUUAAGAAUAAAUGGUUAUCUGUUUGAGGAUAAUAAAUGGCAAAUGAGUGUUUGACAGUAGGCUCCUGGCUCAGUGGAGAUCCUAGGUGCACGUUAUAUCUUGCUAAUUGAGGAACUGGAAGAAGCAGCUGUGUCAGCAUUGUGUUCUACCUUUGCUACUUAGCUCAUGCCAGUACAUGGCUGAGUGCACAGAAUGUGGAAGAGCAUGGUAUCAUUGGGACUUUCCUGUUUUAGAGGAAGAGUGAAGGGUAUAAGGCUUGAAGCAGCACAAAAGGACAGAAGUCAGAUGUAGUAGGAAGUCUGAAAUGGACAUCAGAGGACUAAUGUGCUAGAUUGUGUAAGGAUUUGGAAUAGCUGCUUCAGGAACAGGAAGAAAGAGUCCUACACUGAAGAAUUUUGAAAUGAAAUAACACUGGCACAGAAAAGAAUCAAUGUAAUGAGUGUGUGAGGAAGGCAAUAAAUGGAUUGUAAAGCUGUACAACUAAUGAUGUUUAACCUCUAUUGCAAAUGUAGUGAACUGUUUUCCUGAUUAUUAAAUUAAUGGUCUAAUUUCAAUAUUUCUAACUUCACUACAAAGGUGAGAAACUGUUAUCUGAUUAAGAAAGCAAGUACUUCUCAUGCAAUGUAAAAUUACAAAUAUUUUGUUCCUCUUACUGAUAUAUUACUUAAUAUGAGAAGUUAGAAUUCAGUGCAUGUGUUCCUCCAUCCACAUAUCUUUAUUUGGUAUGUGGAAAAAAAGGAAAAGAUGUUUCUUUCCUGAAAGUAUAUCAAAUCAAAAAAUUCACAUAUUGCUGCUGCUUUGUUAAUAGGCUUAUGUCAAGUAAACUAGGUGUAGAGAAAGCCAGUGGAUUAGAUACCUGAAUGCUCAUAAUUGUUAACGUUAUAAGAUGACUGUUACUUGAAACAAGAAUUAGUUACCAGUAGAGGGUGUUUUCUUUUUUUGUAUAUUAAGACUUUAAAAAAAAAAAUCCUAUACCCAAAUUUGGGGGAUAUUUUGAAGCUGAUGGAUUAAACAACCUCAAGCAUGUCUGAGGUCAUGUGACAGAUCAGAGUAAAACUUAGGGUCCUAGGCUUCCGGAGUUUCCAUUAAGCUUAUCACUUUAGGGCCUUUUGAGUAUGAACUUGGAGAACUAUUUUCUUUUUUCUGUGGGAGAUAUUUGUAUUUGAAGAUUUUUCUCCCUCAGUCCUUCCUGUUCAUCAAUUGAAUAAUCCUAUUGUUUCUUCUUUAUUGGUCACUUCUUUAUUGGUUAUUAUCUGAACCAGUGACAACUUGUGCUGCCAUCUUUUGCACUGCGAUGCUAUUGAGUUGCAUCUCCCUUGGUAGACAAUAUUCUAUCUUAGGUCUUAUCAGUGCUGCAGAGAGCAAAAAGACACCAUGCAUCUGGCAGUCAAUGCUCAUGUUUAUGUAUCCCACUAUGAUGAUUGCCCUUUUGGAACAGCGUGACAUUUUCUUCUGUUCUCUGAUGCAGCUAUUCAAAUAGAUACUCUAAGGAAAUAUUUGAGUCACAGAUAACACAAAAGAACAUGAUUAACUGCAUUCAAUUUACAGUGUCCACAGACAAAGAACCUUUAGUUUUUCAGGGCUUUUUUUAUGUACAAGUAGUUAUCUAAGUAACUUCAGGCCUUAUCAUUCCAUUCUGCUAUUAAUUCCCUCUUAAUGAACAAGUAUUUUGGUUUCUCAAAUGCUGUCUCUGAUUUAUAUAUUGGAAACUGAUUUAAUUCUAUACUAGCCUAAAUUGUGAUGCCUAAUUGGUACUAUUAAAGGUACAUAUUUAAACCACAAUACUCUAAACAGAGAUCCUACAUUAUGGAGUAGAGGAAUGAAGAGGGGCAGACCUGUGGUAAACUCAGGUCAUUUUCUGGAGGGAAGAUAUGUAUGUUAUGAAGGCCAUUAGGAUAAUGUUGCACAGUCUGGUAGUUCCCUCAGUGUUUCUCAUCUUGACGAAGGGUAGAGAUUAAAGAAAAAAUGGUGGCAUUUUGUUACUACUGUGAAAUUACUGAAAAAUUCUAUACUAUUUUUCCUAAUCUAGGAGUCUGAAGCUAGUGCUCUGCUGCUAAUUGCAUUUGUGGUAUAAUGUGGUAAUAAACUAACAUUGUGUCCAUGGUAUGUAAUGUAAUGUUAUCUGAGUAGCUCAGGCAUUAGUUGGUACAUAGUAAAGGCUCAGUGCACUAUGUCUUUCCCUCCUUGUAUGAUUUUUCCGUUAUUUCUCCCUCACAAUACCUCUUAUUACCCUCAUAUCUCUUCCCUUCUUUUCACCGGUAUUUUGUUAACGUUAGCUUGGUUAUUCUUAUGCUUGGAUAGAAUGGGAGUUGAGAAUUUCUGAUUGGUCACUGAAGUUGGGAGAAUUAUUAUUAAGCCAGCUGGAAAUAUGUUAUGAAUAAAUGAUUUCCAUCUCAGAUUAAUUCUUUUAAGUAAAAAGUUAUCACUUGAAGAAAAUGUGCAUAAUGCCUAGAAGUAAAUGAGGUAAACUCUAUUUCCAUUGUGUAGUCAAAAGAGCAGAAGUGAACACAGCCUGACUUUUCUCUUGGCAGUUAGUAAUCUAGUUUACUUGUAAAACUGAGUGAUGAGCAGGUCUCUUUAUAUUUUUCUUUCUCCUUUGACCUUGUAAUGUAAUCAGAUGGUAGACUGAGAUUUUUAAAUGGUCAGGUGAUGGGCUCUUGCUGUGAAACUGAGUGCAAUCUGAAUUUGGUGCUUUUUUUUCUACAUAGCGUUACAGACCAGCUUCAUUGAAAUCUGAUCACAUAAGAGUUAAUGGCUUUUCCCCCACCCAUUGGACAAAGAACAACUUCUGGUGCAUUUAAAAUAUUCAUUACACAACUACUGAAGCAUUCCCUGUGUCCUAAAUGGUUAGAAAAUUGGUUGGAAACAACCUAUUGAACAAAGCAGUCACUCAUUCACUCUACUUCAUGUAACUUAGGAAAAAAAAAAAAGAAAAAAAAUUGCCCAAGCCAUUGCUUUUAUAAACCAUUUAAUACAGUUUAUGAUAGCAAUAAUCCCCUUGAAAUUGAUUAUAUUACUGUAGUUUGUUAUAGUGUUAACUGCCCUUGUCUUCAGCUUGGUCCAUUAACUGAAAAUCCAGCCAUUAUCUUAUAAUGGGAUGAUUCCUCCAGGAUUAUUACCUUACUUUUAGUUUGUUGAAGAUUAAUAUUCUUGUAGGACAGUGAAACAGUGUCAAAAUUUGUAAUAAAUAAAUCCAGUUUUACU